Molecule: long non-coding RNA, 906 nt
Organism: Triticum dicoccoides
Lineage: Eukaryota; Viridiplantae; Streptophyta; Magnoliopsida; Poales; Poaceae
Exons: 3
Source: RefSeq, a predicted model, not a curated record
CCUCUCUGUCUCUCGCGAAUCCUCUCUCCCCCACGAACCCCUCUCCCUCGCCGCCGCCACCACCGACGCCGGCUGGUUCCGGCGAGCUCCGGCGGCGCGCAGCACACCCCCGAGCUCCCCUAGGUCCACUCCACCCUCCCCUCCGUCCAGAAUCGGCGCUCCCGUCCUCCACCGACCCCGUGGCUAGCUAGGGUUUCGACCGCCACCCCUAACAUCGCCGGGAUCAGCCAGAUCCGGCGACGGCGAGGCCAGAGCUCGACAGAUCCGUUACGGGCGUGGCGCAGGUCACCUUGGUGCGGUCUGGACGGCGGCGACGGCAGGAGGGCGCCGUCCUUCCUACUCGAGGAGGCGGAGGACGAGGGGCGCACCUAGCUGGCGGCCCUGUCCUGCUCGAGGAGGCGGGCGCUGCCGAGCUCAAGCACGGCCACGACGACCCACCUCGGCAGAGAUGCAGGGAGGGAGGGACUUCCAUGGAUUGGACUGCAAGGAUUGGAUGCAAACCAAUGCACAUGAGGAGGAGAGAUGCAAGCCAGGUCAUGACCUAAAGGUCCCUGCCGUGAACCCCUUCCCCUUCCCGUGUAUAAUCAUGCUCAACAAAUACUUGAUAUGAUUUUGGUUAAUCUUCAAUUCAGCCCAGCUAGCUGUUGUAGUACUUGCUUGUCUCCUUCCAAAUGUUGCCCUAGUCCGUUGAGUUUCUUAUUGCUCCAGGUAGUACUGUUAUUUUUCUGCUCUGCGAUUUGGUUUGCAUGGUUCUAGGCUCCCAGUCUACCGCUUUUGUUGCUGUGAUUUCGAGCUCUGUUUUCUUUAUUAUGACAAGUUGCAAAAUUAGUAGUGGGAAGUAAACUUUUGUUAACUUGUUGGCUGAACGAAUGGAACUACUGUUAUAUUUGAUUUGUUGCUCAACUA